UAGAGUCUACAUUGUUCCCAGCAAU
Molecule: non-coding RNA, 25 nt
Filed under: Mus musculus (house mouse)
Lineage: Eukaryota; Metazoa; Chordata; Mammalia; Rodentia; Muridae
Source: RNAcentral